UUUAUAGUGUGUGUGUGUGUGUGUGUGUGUGUGUGUGUGUGUGUGUGUGUGUGUGCGUAUGAGUGGCAUCAACACUUUUAAGCAAUAUUUUAUCAUUUACAGCAGCCUGGUAUAUUGUGCAAGCUCUGUGUUGAUAGAGUCAGGAUAAUGCUUUCUGCUCCAAGUUCAGCAUCUCCAGUUCAAUUCCAUCAUGUGUAUAAAAGUUUAGGACAGACAGCGCGGGGGUGGACAAAUAAUUAAAUUGAUUAGCGAGUCACUGGGCAAGUAAAAGCGCUGGUGUGCUACCCAGUCAAAGGUUUCGAUUCCCCAGUAAUUUAACUGGUUAGGCUAAAAAGUUGUAGCUGACAUGCUAGUUAGCUGGCUGGUUAUGACUCAGCCUUAGUCAUUAUCCUUUUUUAGAAUGUGUCCAAUGUAGGACAUCCUGUUUGUGACCUCGAGAAAAUUUCAGCAAGUCGCUGGUCAACACUUUGGCUAUAAGUAGGAAAGUUAUACGACAGCUUUAAGCUAUACUUUAUUUUGCUCUAUUGUGAGUUUAAACAUUUCAAAAUGAUAUGUUAACUUGAAUUCAUGAGUAACUCAUUAAGGAAUGAGGUAUUUUUUGAAACGAGAUAACUCGAAAUGACAACAUAUCUUGAAACUAGAUCACCUGAAAUAAUAAUGUAAUAUCUUGAUGUAACAGGUUGAGAACUCUAAAUAACUGCAAAUCCUGAAACUCGAAAUAAUGACAUAUUUUAAAACGAGAUAACUCAAAAUUAUGGUGUAACAUCUUGAAAUGAGAUGACCAGAAAUAAUGAAUUAUCUUGAAAUGAGAUGACCAGAAAUAAUGGCAUAUCUUGAACUGAGAUAACCAGAAAUAAUUACAUAUCUUGAAAGAACAUAACUCGAAAUAACAUCUUGAAUUGAGAUAACCAGAUAUAUCAACAUAUCUUGAAACAAGAUAACUCAAAAUAACAUCUAAAAUGAGAUAACCAGAAAUAACAACAUAUCUUGAAACGAGAUAACCAGAAAUAGCGACAUGUUUUGAAACAAGAUAACCAGAAAUAACAACAUAUCUUGAAACGAGAUAACCAGAAAUAGCGACAUGUUUUGAAACGAGAUAACCAGAAAUAAUGAAUUAUCUUGAAACGAGAUAACCAGAAAUAAUGAAUUAUCUUGAAACGAGAUAACCAGAAAUAGCGACAUGUUUUGAAACGAGAUAACCAGAAAUAAUUAUAUAUCUUGAAACAAGAUAACUCGAAAUAACAUCUAGAAUCAGCUAACCAGAAAUAACAACAUAUCUUGAAACGAGAUAACCAGAAAUGUCGACAUGUUUUGAAACGAGAUAACCAGAAAUAAUGAAUUAUCUUGAAACGACAUAACCAGAAAUAAUGAAUUAUCUUGAACUGAGAUAAGAAGAAAUAAUAACACAUCUUCAAAUGAGCUAUCCAGAAAUAAUUGCAUAUCUUGAAAUAACAUAACAACUUGAAAUAACGAUAUAAUACCUAUUGAUAUGAUGCCUUUAUAAUGAGUCAAGUUGAAAUAACAAAAUAACGAGAUCUUAAGUUAAAACAAUGUCUUGAAAUAACGAAAUAUUAAGCCGAAAUUACAAGAAAAUAUUUUGAAAUAACCAGUUCUUUGGUCCAGUUGAAGUCAAAAUAAUGACAUGGC
Molecule: long non-coding RNA, 1647 nt
Organism: Ictalurus punctatus (channel catfish)
Lineage: Eukaryota; Metazoa; Chordata; Actinopteri; Siluriformes; Ictaluridae
Source: Ensembl